Penaeus vannamei (Pacific white shrimp) is the source of this 2496-nucleotide non-coding RNA. NCBI's taxonomy places the organism in Eukaryota, Metazoa, Arthropoda, Malacostraca, Decapoda, Penaeidae. The record is from RefSeq and is a predicted model, not a curated record.
GUAUGUUUGUAAAUAAGUGAGUAGGAGAGUAAAUGAACAAGUAAAUGAGUAUAAAUGAAUAUGAGAGCAACUGAGUGAGUAAGUGCUGGACUGGCAAAAGGCAAGGAGAAAAGAGGAAGCAUAUCUGUGAAUGAGAAUGUAGGUUUAAGAUUUAAAAGCACAUAUACAGAGAGAAAAUAUGUACAUGAAAUAUAGUCUAGUCUUGAUAAUAGAUAAAUCUAGUAUUGUUAAGAGUCUAUAUUACUGAAAUAUCAAGUGAGUUUUGUUAUACUUUCUUAAAGCUAAAAAAAUCCUUCUAAAUAAAAUUCUAUUAUGAAAUUGUGAAGUCAGAAUUUAGAAUUCAGGAGAAUAGAUAUACAUGAUGAUCAUUUGUAAGUGAUGUACAUAUCUUAGAAUGCAUUCACUGAAUCACUUAAAAAUUUCCCUUAAAAUUCUAAUUAUGUGUUUCUUACUGAAUCAUUCCAUGCUUAAUGGGGAUAUGCAUGUGUUAUGGCAAGGAUCAAAAUGCCUAUCAAUGUAGCACUCAGUGAUGGAAGCUGCACCACCAUGUUUUUUUUUUUUAUUUACUUUUUUUUCCUGUCUGCUUGCUCACUAACCACCUACGCUCUCUUGACAUUCUAGGGUCACAAGAGUAUCCAGGCUGGGCGAUGGUGUAGGCUUCCCUCUCGCUCCUUGCCCCAGCCCCCUCUCUCGGGUACAAAGUGAGAGACCUUCCUUAGCACAGUUUCUGUGGCAACACUUCCAUGAGAACCUGGGCCUCAUCUUCCAGCCUUAGAAGAUAAAAAUGUGCAGCUUACGUCUUCCAGACUCUCUGUGCUGUGAAAAGCUGUGGGAGCAUGAGAUUAUCUGGCCUUGUGCAUGUAACUGCCGUGGCCUAGAAUGUGUGUACUGUAACGAAAAAUCAUGGAUUUUAUAUGCACCAUCUCUUGAGGAAAUUGCUCAAUUCCCAGUGAUAAGCGAUACUUUUUACUCUUUAAAAUGCUACAUAAUCAUACAUUCAAAAUACAUUUAUUUUGUACUGAACAACCAUGAUAUCUGAAGUCUAUUAUGGCUGUGUGAAGGAAUGAUACUUGGAAUAGAUGAUUUUGAAUACUUGUUUCCCCCAUCAAGGUGAUGAAGUUCAGAAUACUGUUUAAUGAAGCCAGAUAUGUUGAAAGUCCCUAAAAUCCAGUCUUAAGAAAAUGAGAAUAUUCAGUGACUCAUUGAUGCUCAUGCUUGAAAGAAAGAUAUCUUGAUAUGACACACAUGGCACUGCAUGCAUCAGCACUUCUUACUCUUGCACAAACAGAAGACUUGUGACCGAAGACUCAAGACACUUAAUUGCACAUUAUUUCAAAAAGAGACAAGGAAAAUAGAUAAUCUAAACUCGUUUAAACUUCAGCAUGAGCAGCAGUCACUUUCAUUUCUGUGGAAUUAUGUACAAUAAUCAAGAAGGUUAGAAUAUGUGAUUAAAACCAAUGACUUCCACUGACUGCGGUGAUUGCUUUAAUUCUGUGCAGCUCUUUGGAAUUUAUUCAAGAUAAAAAAAUAUAUUUGUUUAUCAAUAGAUUCCAAGUUAUGUCAUGGUUUGGUUGUGAUAUUUGAUGAAUGAUUUCCAUUGCACAUGUAUUGACUUGCUCUAUUGGCAGUAACUGUACUAUAAUUUCUGUAUAUCAUAGAGGAUGAAAGACAGUGGUCUUAUAUACUAUACUGGGAAGUCAAUAGAAGUUAUGUAAUCAAUCCAUUAUGCUGACUAUCAUUCCAUGGGCCAGAGUAGAUUUGCUCUUCUUUUCUUUAAAUAUUGAUGUUAACCUUUUUUUAGUUUUUUUUUCUUUUUUUUCUUACCUAAGCACCUCUUUGAUGAUGAAGUACACUAUUUUUUGCGACUGUAUUUUAAAAAUCAUACUGCCCUUUGUGUAUAUUGAAAGACAAUGCAUGGAAAGCUCUGGCCCUUUUAUUUGUUUAGACUAUAACAAUUUGAUUGUGAAUUUCAAGACUUCGGGGAAAUAUCUGCAUUAUAUUGCUGGCAAACCAAAGAGAUUUAACAGUGGCCUAUUAAAACACUAUAAUACAAAUAGUAUUUGAAAAAAAGGAAAUAAGUAUAGGCUUAUUAAACAUAAUAAAAGAUAGACGUAAAGCUAUUCAGUCAUGUGGAAACAAUUAUGCCUUUGUUGUGUCACAUCUUUAUAACGAUCCUUUUCAUUACUGUACUUUGUGGUCUGGAAUAGAAUAUGUACCGUUACCUAGUGAAAUGUUUACCUUUGAAAAGAAAAUGCACACACAAAAAAAAAACAAACUUAUUUUGACCUGCCCUCCAUCAUGAAUCUACAAAAGGCAACAGUACUAGUCUAGCACUGCAUGACAAUGUACAAGAGGCUGGAAUCAUUACUUUCUUAUGCCUCACUGGGACAUAGAGUUGCCGUUAUUUCUGCAUUGAAUACCACAAACACGACUGUAUAAUGCCAACAAAUGAUGUACACUAUAACUAUUGUCAGUGAUUAUUAAAGUAUAAUUUUA